AUAGUAUUCCAUUAGCUAGGUGGUUUGAGUCUUUUGUUGUUGGAUUCGAGCUCUCGUCGGAAUUCCUCUUGUGGUGGAGGAAUAGCUUGCUUCAUCUCAUCCACAAAAGUAGACGCCAGAAACUGAUAUGACGAGUGAACUAGAGAGGAGGGAAGGCGAAUCAUCUUCUUCCUGCCUCCUGUGAAAUUACAUCAAGAAAAAGCUUUCCUAUGUGGCUCUUGACUAUGAACAGGAGAUUGAAACUGCCAGGAGCAGCUCCUCCACUGAAAAGAAAUAUGAAUUGCCUGAAGGACAAGUUAUUACCAUUGGUUCUGAGAGGUUCUGUUGCCCAGAGGCUCUCUUCCAGCCAUCUAUGAUUGGUAUGGAAGCUGCAGGUAUCAAUGAGACUACCUACAACUCCAUUCAUUAGCCUUGUGAAGUAGCUAAAAAAAAAGGAACGUAGAGAAGAAUAUCCAUCUAAUAAAGCUUUCCCAACUGGUGAACGAUCCUUCCCGUGCGGUGAUCAUGGAUAAGACAAUCAGAAGAAGAAAAGAUUACACGAAGAUAGUUAGCUGCAACGUGACUGAGGAUGAAAAUGGAAUCUAUCAUGAAGAAUUCGGGAUGAAGACAUAGACCCAUAGUGUGAGAGCUCCCAGACAACCACACAGGGCAAUGCUUGAUAUAAGGGCUUCAGAUAUACAUUUAUAGGGUGUUUAUCGUAUGAGCAAGGAAAUCAUUGUCUACACUCCUAGCAGCAUGAAGAUUAAGGUUGUUUCUCCACCAGAGAGUAAGAACAGUGUCUAGAUUGGAGGAUCCAUCCUCGCAUCACUUCGCACCUUCCAGCUGGCAAGCCUUUAUUUCUUAUAAUUCUCUUGCAUAACUUUUGCAAUUUUAAACUGCAUUUUGAACUAUGUUGUUUCUAACUUAAACAUGUUAUGUGCUUAAUCAGAUGUGGAUUUCAAAGGGCGAGUACGACAACUCUGGUCCAUCCAUUGUCCACAUGAAGUGUUUCUAAGGUGUUUUGAACUAUAAAUGGCUCAAGAAAUGGCACCUGAAAUUGAGGAAGAUUAUUUUUUAUGAGAGCAGGUUCCUACCGGUAAAAUGUGCUAAAAAUAUGAUAAGUACUUGGCCCGAAGUGAGGACACAAUUUUAUUUUCAAUUGGGAAUGCCUCCCUUAUUGUCAUUUUGUUGAUUGUUUCUGCAUACUGUGAUUGUGCCCUUGUUGGGCAUACUUUUCUUUCUUUGUUAUGGAUUGGUAUGCCCUUGUCGAACUUUCAUAUCGUGGAUGCUUCUGUUGAUAUUGUGUUAGAUUGGUCUAUUUUAGUUUUUGAUUGGUAGUUUGUAGCUUCCUUGUUUUUUGUUUGUUAAUAAGAUUUGGAUUGACGAUGCCUGAUGAUGGAUAGAGAGGGACAACUUUCUUAAGGGUAAAUCAUCAAUUGCUUGUGAGUGUUUGAUUGGCGUUGAUUGUGGCGAAGUCUAAGUAGUCGUCCCCGAAUAGAUGCAUGAGGUUGCCUGAUGAUGAAUUGGUUGACAACUCUUAAGGGCAAAAUCGUCGUCUUUUUGGGAAGGUUUUUACUAGGUUGGUACUAAGAGCAUAGUCAUGCAUGUGAAUAGUGUUGAGCGUACCUCUCCAUUUUUAAAAGGUUGAGCAUGUUGUGAAUGAUUUUGUGACAACUUUUACAACUCUUUUUAUGACUUUUGAUUUGUUAGCGGUUAAAAUGUUCAAUGCUACUUGUAUUUUGAAAAGGAAGUAAGAUUUUGAACCAUCUUGAUUGAUUUGCAGGACAUGUGUGGCGAGUUGUUGAAUAAUGCCUUGUGUUUGCUUUUGUCAUCUAGAACUUGCCCGGUUGGUCUUGAUUGAGUUUUGUUGGAAAAAUGAUCAUAGGCUUUUUUUGAUGUUCUUGAAGUCCACCUGUCCUCAAAAUCCCACCUUUGCAUUAAAUAUAUCCUUAGUUGUCCCUUUUGAGCCUAAUUCUUUUUAUUGACAACCACAUUUCAAGCCUUAUCCUUUUUGAAAAAGUAACCCUCGUUUGAACCCUUCCCUCCUUGAACUUGAGGUGGUGAAAGUGGAGGCUAAAAGCCUAAGUUGGGGGUGUUAUGGGAAAUUCAUUGAAGGGA
Solanum stenotomum is the source of this 2097-nucleotide long non-coding RNA. RefSeq lists it as uncharacterized. The transcript has 4 exons. The record is from RefSeq and is a predicted model, not a curated record. Lineage: Eukaryota; Viridiplantae; Streptophyta; Magnoliopsida; Solanales; Solanaceae.